GCACCCGUAGCUCAGCUGGAUAGAGCAAUAGCCUCCGACGCUAUGUGCCGAUGGUUCGAAUCCAUUCGGGUGCACCA
Molecule: transfer RNA, 77 nt
Filed under: Clostridia bacterium
Lineage: Bacteria; Bacillati; Bacillota; Clostridia
Description: tRNA-Arg
Rfam family: tRNA
About the family: Transfer RNA (tRNA) molecules are approximately 80 nucleotides in length. Their secondary structure includes four short double-helical elements and three loops (D, anti-codon, and T loops).
Source: RNAcentral